UAUCAUGCAGUCGACGGGAUUUGGGAGCUUGCUUCCAUGAGAGUGGCGCACGGGUGCGUAACACGUAUGUAACCUACCUUAAUCUGGGGGAUAGCCUCUCGAAAGAGAGAUUAACACCGCAUAACAUCACGAUAUAGCAUUUUAUUGUGAUCAAAUAUUUAUAGGAUUAAGAUGGGCAUGCGGAACAUUAGCUAGUUGGUAAGGUAAUGGCUUACCAAGGCUACGAUGUUUAGGGGAUCUGAGAGGAUGACCCCCCACACUGGUACUGAGACACGGACCAGACUCCUACGGGAGGCAGCAGUAAGGAAUAUUGGUCAAUGGGCGCAAGCCUGAACCAGCCAUGCCGCGUGCAGGAAGACGGCCCUACGGGUUGUAAACUGCUUUUGUACCGGAAUAAACUUUGAUACGUGUAUCAAGCUGAAUGUACGGUAAGAAUAAGGAUCGGCUAACUCCGUGCCAGCAGCCGCGGUAAUACGGAGGAUCCAAGCGUUAUCCGGAUUUAUUGGGUUUAAAGGGUGCGUAGGCGGUUCUUUAAGUCAGGGGUGAAAGACGGUAGCUUAACUAUCGCAGUGCCUUUGAUACUGAAGAACUUGAAUACACUUGAGGUAGGCGGAAUGUGACAAGUAGCGGUGAAAUGCAUAGAUAUGUCACAGAACACCAAUUGCGAAGGCAGCUUACUAAAGUGUCAUUGACGCUGAGGCACGAAAGCGUGGGGAUCAAACAGGAUUAGAUACCCUGGUAGUCCACGCCCUAAACGAUGAAUACUCGAUGUUGGCGAUAUACGGUCAGCGUCUAAGCGAAAGCGUUAAGUAUUCCACCUGGGGAGUACGCCCGCAAGGGUGAAACUCAAA
This 851-nucleotide ribosomal RNA is filed under the name uncultured bacterium. Its description in RNAcentral is "bacterial SSU rRNA". It matches the Rfam family "Bacterial small subunit ribosomal RNA", at positions 51 to 905 of the family's 1533-position model. The record is from RNAcentral.